RNAcentral lists this transfer RNA (37 nucleotides) under Carpinus cordata. RNAcentral describes it as "partial tRNA-His". The record is from RNAcentral. Lineage: Eukaryota; Viridiplantae; Streptophyta; Magnoliopsida; Fagales; Betulaceae.
AGUAUAGGGGCGGAUGUAGCCAAGUGGAUCAAGGCAG